This 394-nucleotide ribosomal RNA is filed under the name Clostridioides difficile. Its description in RNAcentral is "bacterial LSU rRNA". It matches the Rfam family "Bacterial large subunit ribosomal RNA", at positions 1 to 395 of the family's 2925-position model. Lineage: Bacteria; Bacillati; Bacillota; Clostridia; Peptostreptococcales; Peptostreptococcaceae. The record is from RNAcentral.
UGGUCAAGUUAUUAAGGGUGCAGGGCGGAUGCCUUGGCACUAGGAGCCGAUGAAGGACGUGAUAAGCUGCGAUAAGCUUCGGGGAGUUGCACGUAAACGUUGAUCCGAAGAUUUCCGAAUGAGGAAACUCACUUAGAGUAAUGUCUAAGUAUCAUUAAGUGAAUACAUAGCUUAAGGAGGGGAACUCAGGGAACUGAAACAUCUAAGUACCUGAAGGAAGAGAAAGAAAUUCGAUUCCGUAAGUAGCGGCGAGCGAACGCGGAUUAGCCCAAACCAAUAAAGUUUUCUUUAUUGGGGUUGCGGACAUAUCAUAACGAAGAGGUAUCGUAAUUGAAGAGGUUUGGAAAGACCCACCACAGAAGGUAAUAGUCCUGUAUGUUAAACGAGAAGACUU